This 460-nucleotide ribosomal RNA is filed under the name uncultured bacterium. RNAcentral describes it as "bacterial SSU rRNA". It matches the Rfam family "Bacterial small subunit ribosomal RNA", at positions 340 to 789 of the family's 1533-position model. The record is from RNAcentral.
UACGGAAGGCAGCAGUGGGGAAUAUUGCACAAUGGGCGAAAGCCUGAUGCAGCUAUGCCGCGUGUAUGAAGAAGGCCUUAGGGUUGUAAAGUACUUUCAUCGGGGAGGAAAAACAAAACUAAUAAUUUUAUUUCUUGACGUUACCCGAAAAAGAAGCACCGGCUAACUCCGUGCCAGCAGCCGCGGUAAUACGGAGGGUGCUAGCGUUAAUCAGAAUUACUGGGCGUAAAGAGCACGUAGGUGGUUUUUUUAAGUCAGAUGUGAAAUCCCUGGGCUUAACCUAGGAACUGCAUUUUGAAACUGAAAUACUAGAGUAUCGUAGAGGGAGGUAGAAUUCUAGGUGUAGCGGUGAAAUGCGUAGAUAUCUGGAGGAAUACCUGUGGCGAAAGCGGCCUCCUAAACGAAUACUGACACUGAGGUGCGAAAAGCGUGGGGAGCGAAACAGGGAUUAGAUACCCGU